Molecule: unclassified non-coding RNA, 499 nt
Filed under: uncultured Diversispora
Lineage: Eukaryota; Fungi; Glomeromycota; Glomeromycetes; Diversisporales; Diversisporaceae
Description: bacterial SSU rRNA
Rfam family: Eukaryotic small subunit ribosomal RNA
Source: RNAcentral
CCAAUAGCGUAUAUUAAAGUUGUUGCAGUUAAAAAGCUCGUAGUUGAACUUCGGGGUCUACCCAUUGGUCAGGCUUAAUUGUCUGCACUGGUGAGAUGGAUCUCUACCUUCUGAGGAACUUUCAUGCCAUUUAUUUGGUGUGGUUGGAAAUCAGGACUGUUACUUUGAAAAAAUUAGAGUGUUUAAAGCAGACUAUCGUCUGAAUACAUUAGCAUGGAAUAAUGAAAUAGGACGGACUGAUUCUAUUUCGUUGGUUUCUAGGAUCACCGUAAUGAUUAAUAGGGAUAGUUGGGGGCAUUAGUAUUCAAUUGUCAGAGGUGAAAUGCUUGGAUUUAUUGAAGACUAACUACUGCGAAAGCAUUUGCCAAGGAUAUUUUCAUUAAUCAAGAACGAAAGUCAGAGGUUCGAAGGCGAUCAGAUGCCGCCCUAGUUCUGACCAUAAACGAUGCCAACCAGUAAUUCGCCUGAGUUCCUUAAAUGACUCGGCGAGGGACUUCCG